This 280-nucleotide ribosomal RNA is filed under the name uncultured bacterium. RNAcentral describes it as "partial 16S ribosomal RNA". It matches the Rfam family "Bacterial small subunit ribosomal RNA", at positions 28 to 309 of the family's 1533-position model. The record is from RNAcentral.
GACGAACGCUGGCGGCGUGCUUAACACAUGCAAGUCGAGCGGUAAGGCCCUUUCGGGGGUACACGAGCGGCGAACGGGUGAGUAACACGUGGGUGACCUGCCCUCAGCUCUGGGAUAAGCCUGGGAAACCGGGUCUAAUACCGGAUAUGACUCCAUGACGCAUGUUGUGGGGUGGAAAGCCUUGUGCGGCUGAGGAUGGGCCCGCGGCCUAUCAGCUUGUUGGUGGGGUGAGGCCUACCAAGGCGACGACGGGUAGCCGGCCGUGAGAGGGCGACCGGCC